Molecule: ribosomal RNA, 484 nt
Filed under: uncultured bacterium
Lineage: Bacteria
Description: partial 16S ribosomal RNA
Rfam family: Bacterial small subunit ribosomal RNA
Source: RNAcentral
AUUGAACGCUGGCGGCAGGCCUAACACAUGCAAGUCGAGCGGAUGAAGGGAGCUUGCUCCUGGAUUCAGCGGCGGACGGGUGAGUAAUGCCUAGGAAUCUGCCUGGUAGUGGGGGAUAACGUCCGGACACGGGCGCUAAUACCGCAUACGUCCUGAGGGAGAAAGUGGGGGAUCUUCGGACCUCACGCUAUCAGAUGAGCCUAGGUCGGAUUAGCUAGUUGGUGGGGUAAAGGCCUACCAAGGCGACGAUCCGUAACUGGUCUGAGAGGAUGAUCAGGCACACUGGAACUGAGACACGGUCCAGACUCCUACGGGAGGCAGCAGUGGGGAAUAUUGGACAAUGGGCGAAAGCCUGAUCCAGCCAUGCCGCGUGUGUGAAGAAGGUCUUCGGAUUGUAAAGCACUUUAAGUUGGGAGGAAGGGCAGUAAGUUAAUACCUUGCUGUUUUGACGUUACCAACAGAAUAAGCACCGGCUAACUUCGUG